UACGUAGGGUCCGAGCGUUGUCCGGAUUUAUUGGGCGUAAAGAGCUCGUAGGCGGUUCCGUAAGUCAGAUGUGAAAACUCAGGGCUCAACCCGGAGACGCCAUCUGAUACUGCGGUGACUGGAGUCUGGUAGGGGAACACGGAAUUCCUGGUGUAGCGGUGAAAUGCGCAGAUAUCAGGAGGAACACCGGUGGCGAAGGCGCACAUCUGGCCCGAUACUGACGCUGAGGCGCGAAAGCCAGGGGAGCGAACGGG
This 254-nucleotide ribosomal RNA is filed under the name uncultured bacterium. RNAcentral's name for it is "partial 16S ribosomal RNA". It matches the Rfam family "Bacterial small subunit ribosomal RNA", at positions 524 to 776 of the family's 1533-position model. The record is from RNAcentral.